AGAGUUUGAUCAUGGCUCAGAACGAACGCUGGCGGCGCGCCUAACACAUGCAAGUCGGACGCACUCAGCAAUGGGUGAGUGGCGGACGGGUGAGUAACACGUGGGAACCUGCCCUGGCUGGGAUAACUGCGGGAAACUGCAGGUAACACCGGAUGUGCCCUUUGGGGGAAAGUUUACGCCCUGGGAUGGGCCCGCGUCGGAUUAGGUAGUUGGUGGGGUAAUGGCCUACCAAGCCUUCGAUCCGUAACCGGUCUGAGAGGAUGAUCGGUCACACUGGGACUGAGACACGGCCCAGACUCCUACGGGAGGCAGCAGUGGGGAAUCUUGGACAAUGGGGGCAACCCUGAUCCAGCGACGCCGCGUGGGUGAUGAAGGCCUUCGGGUCGUAAAGCCCUUUUGCCGGGGAAGAUGAUGACGGUACCCGGAGAAGAAGCACCGGCUAACUCUGUGCCAGCAGCCGCGGUAAGACAGAGGGUGCUAGCGUUGUUCGGAAUUACUGGGCGUAAAGGGCGCGUAGGCGGCUCGUUUAGUCGGGUGUGAAAUCCCAAGGCUCAACCUUGGAACUGCAUUCGAUACUGGCGGGCUAGAGACCGGAAGAGGUGGGUGGAAUACCCAGUGUAGAGGUGAAAUUCGUAGAUAUUGGGUGGAACACCGGUGGCGAAGGCGGCUCACUGGUCCGGUUCUGACGCUGAGGCGCGAAAGCGUGGGGAGCAAACAGGAUUAGAUACCCUAGUAGUCC
Molecule: ribosomal RNA, 739 nt
Filed under: uncultured bacterium
Lineage: Bacteria
Description: bacterial SSU rRNA
Rfam family: Bacterial small subunit ribosomal RNA
Source: RNAcentral